Molecule: long non-coding RNA, 2407 nt
Organism: Mus musculus (house mouse)
Lineage: Eukaryota; Metazoa; Chordata; Mammalia; Rodentia; Muridae
Product: RIKEN cDNA A330093E20 gene
Exons: 4
Source: RefSeq, marked predicted
UAUACUUGUCUGCAGCAGGGAAAGAGGAUGAUGCUAAAUAUGUUCUUAGCGAACAUCUAAAGUCUCAGAUCUAAAUUUGGUGACUGGGAAUAGAUUACACAACAGCUAGUGACUCCACACAAAGAACACAACAUUGACUCCUUUAUUGAAAACUGUGUUCUGGGGAGGCCUCACAACUGGCUUGAGUAAUGGCGUGUCGCAGAAGGGACUCUGAGGCUGGUGAUUAAAGGAAUGCAAGGAUGAUUGAAUGAGCCCGCCAUCUUCCUUCUGAGCCCAGCAGAGGCUCCAGAGUGCUCUCCACACUGCAGGACCUCUGGAUCACCUCGGGAUCACAGCUACUCUCUGAUGAAGUUGGUGGCGCUGUGGAGGAGGACCGCCGCCUCCUGGACGAGGACCGGGAGCGCUCAGCAUUGUAGGAGACAUGCUUGUCGUAGUUCUCCAUCUGUGUCUCAAUGAAGUCCCUUUGCUGCUGUCUGAUGGUCUGGCUGAUUAGCCCAGGGAGGGCAUGAAUGCUACCAAUCAAAGUCUCUAGUUUUGUUUCCAGGGUGACGAUCCUUUUCUCAAAGUCUUCACUCCUUUCAUUCAAGUCGGAAAUCAUGUCAUACAUGAUAUUCUGGGUCUGGAAAACAAGAAUGAGAAGAUAGAAACAGAGAAGGAAGAGGCUUAGUGACUUUUGCCUCAGAAGCGAACUGUCAACUCUUCAAGCUUCAGCACUGGCCUCUUGACAGGUGUGUCAGCUAACAGAAGAGUUUAGGUCACAAAGCAAAUUCCGUGUAUCUACAUCCCGAGUAUCUACAUCCCGCUUUAAUCCAUGUAUUUUUAAUGCUGAACUUUAAAUGCACGAUGACAGACUAGUUGUAAUUUACAAGACGGUGUAGUGGAAUGACCAGUGGUUUGAGGUAGAUUGAGGAUAGAUGGAAAUGUUUCAAUUUAAUAUUUAUGUGUGUUCAUGAUUCUUAUACAAGUUAGCAUAUCAAAUUCAUCUUUCAACAUGGCCAAUUUUUAUGGUAACAGAUUUAAAGGAGGAAAAAAUAACAUUAAGAUGACAGCGAGGUGCAAAAACAUAACAGAAGAGUAGAGGUUAAAUGUAGGAUCAAUGGACUUGAUCAGAUAACUUAGUAAUUUAAAGCAAUCAAUACACAUCUUCUGCUGCCUUAUGUUUCAAAUAUCAUAUCUCUUUUUAUUGACUCCAACCCAAAAUUUCAUAGAUUAGAUGUAAAAUAAUAUGAACCCUCAAUAAGAUCAAUAGUGGUGGUGGAUUCUAAGUUACUAGACCAGGGCUGGGGGUGAAACCCAGUGGUUAAGCAUUUGCCUAAUGGGCACUGAGCACUGGGUGUGUACUCUCUGCACCAUGCAAGUAAACAUUUACAGGCCACCUCAUUGGGAUGGUCUGAAGGACGCAUGUGCAAUGCUGUCUUUGUAGAGAAAAAUGAAGUUAUCUCCAUCAGAGGCAGUCAUGAGUCCGAGUCUUGGUUACAGUUCUUGAAAUAGUUACUUGAGGGGAUUCCAAGGCUCAGCAGCUCAGAGUAAGGGAUAGAAAGGGGUGGCUGAGGGGAUGGAGAGAUAUGCUCCACCCAGUCUACUGCCACCUUUUCCAAAUCCCAGACCCCUUGGGCCGCUCGUACUUCAUGUCUUUCCUGUUCUCUUUCAGCCUCACAGCUGUUUAAAGAUAAUAAAGGAACCCACAGAAGCAGCCAUUCAGAACCCAGGCAUUUUCUUUUGUUUGAGCCACAGACACAGGGAGCGCUAAUUUUAGCUUUACUACAUUCUUGGGAAAACUGAACAAUAUCUGGUCAUUAGAAAGAUACUGAACUCUUACGGCAUGCUUUCGCUCGUGGUCGGAGUAAAGAUGGCAGUACAUAAACAACUCAAAUAUAUUUUACCUUGAAUAUACCUUUGAUGUAUAUGAGUAAUAUAUGAGUAGCCCUGGGGAUGCCAAAUGUCGAAUUUUCACAGACUACAUACUUGAAGAUUUAGCAAAAAGAGAAUAUGAUUUAUUAAAUAUAAAACAGGGUGCAUAUGACUUAGUGUUGCCUCUGCCAAAGCAAUUGUGCUAAAAGGCAGAACACAUACAUACUUCUAUUCUAGAAUCUCCUUUGGAACUCGCUGAACAGGAUGUAAUGUUUACACAGUUGAUAAAUAUUCAUAUUUCCAGAGUGGCUGUUACUUAUGGUGGAACAAUAAAAAAAAACAGAUAAAUCUUGUAAAUGUGACAAAGAACUAGAAAACUAUUAAUGCACUUGUUAAAAAGAAGUAUGAUUGUUAAAUAAUGGAGAAUGCUAGAAAAAUGAGUGAGAGAAAGAGAGCGCACAGAUUUUAGCUUAGAAUAUAAUUUCUGGGAUUUUUAAACCAUUCGAUUUAUAUAGGUUUGGGCUUGCUUAAAAAUAUAUAAACUAGAAUAAGAUUU